UUGGUUUCAAUGAACUGUGAAAAAGAUGCUGAUGUAAAAUAUAUCUUGCAGAUAAAAGUGAUGGUGGUAUAAUUCUUGUUGGGGAUUUUUUCAAAGCAGCAAAAAAAGCCUGUUCUGGGGAUGGUAACAUCAACAUGCCCUUCCUGUGUUUGGACUUGACCUAUAUCAGCUCUUUACUUCAUGAUGGUUUUCAAUUUGAUUUAAACAAGGAGAUAACUCUUGUUAAGAAGAUCAACACAUUUGAAACAAGCUGGGGACUUGGAGCAGCCUUCAGUCUACUAGCCUAGAUCGAAGCAUCGUUUUUACCAUGGACUGUACCAAAUUCGAAACUUUACUGAUUUGAAUUGUGAUCUUUACUGUGUACUAUAGCAAAUUAAAAACUAUAACAGAAACUUUUUUUAUUUGUUAGUGUCACACUUUAAAAUACCUUGAGGUUAUCAAACGGCUACUAACGAUUUUUUUAUAAAAGGAAUAUGUAAGUAAAUAAUAUAUUAUUUUGUAAGUGUAAGUGUACUGUGAAACUUAUUUAAAUGUCUUACUUAAAGCAAAAACCAUAAGAGAAUUACAAAUAAUUGUGGAAACAAGUUAAACUAUACAGAACAAGAAAGAAAUGUUACUCUUUAAUGUCCACCCAAUGAACAUAUUUCAAUGGCUGUAUAGACCAGAUUUUGAUUUGAAAUAUAUAUAUAUAUAUAUAUAUUGUAAAUAAAAUUGUAAAUAUCUUAAAUUCUGAAGGAUGCUAAAGAAAUUUCUCCCUAGGUUAACUCAUGGAUAAAAUAGUUAUAGUUUAGUAACCGAAAAAAAUUUCUUAGUUGAAAGUUUUUCUGUUUCUAUUUUAAUAAAAUGGACACCAGGUUUCAAGUAUGCCAAUGUUGAAAAUGAACAUAGCAGUAAUACUUAAGAAAAUACAGUUAAGUUUAAAUAAAAGUUGUCACAAUUUUAUUGAAUCUUUUACAGUAUUACUUCUUAAUGUAUGUUACCUAAAUCCAAAGAAAACCUUUUCCUGCUUUGUGUCUUUAGAUCUUCCUAUAUGUGCUAUUUAUUUUUUUGUAGUUAGGGAAAACUUUUCUGCUUGCUUACUCAGUAAGACUGAAAUAAAGGUAUUAUUUUAUUAAUUA
Molecule: long non-coding RNA, 1118 nt
Organism: Limulus polyphemus (Atlantic horseshoe crab)
Lineage: Eukaryota; Metazoa; Arthropoda; Merostomata; Xiphosura; Limulidae
Exons: 3
Source: RefSeq, a predicted model, not a curated record